Long non-coding RNA from Electrophorus electricus (electric eel), 2855 nucleotides. Lineage: Eukaryota; Metazoa; Chordata; Actinopteri; Gymnotiformes; Gymnotidae. The record is from Ensembl.
CAGCACUGCCCACCUGAUCAGAACCAGAGAUCAGAACCAAGCUUCCUACAGCAUAUCACGUAGCACACAAGUGUCGAUUUAAUGCUAUAGGGUGGAGCUUGUGGGCUCAUUUCCAGAGGUGAUCCAAUCACAAUGACCCAUUCUUCUAACUUCUUAAAUGUGCCUGUUGACCCCUGGGACAUUAUAGUCCCUGCAUGUGUUACUGAGAAUUGUUGUAAAAAUGAUUACUCUGAUGUUCUGAUACCACAGUUGACCUGUUGAUAUCGACCAUGAACUAAGGAGGUGCUGCACAUUGGUUACUUUGCUCUAGCUUGUGUGUGUGUGUGUGUGUGUGUGUGUGUGUGUGUGUGUGUGUGUGUGUGUGUGUGUGUGUGUGUGUGUGUGUGUGUGUGUGUGUGUGUGUGUGUGUGUGUGUGUGUGUGUGUGUGUGUGUGUGUGUGUGUGUGUGUGUGUGUGUGUGUGUGUGUGUGUGUGUGUGUGUAACUUAUUUUACUUUAUGUAUUGACUAUUAUUGUCUGAUCUUUCUGCAAUGGCACUUGAUAUGUUUUUGUUGUCAUGGUCAUGUUCUUUUGAGCUUCAUAAAAAAGGUUUGAGAAUGUAAAAAAGCCAAAAUGUAUUUUAUUAAUGAAAUUAAAUGACAUUAAAACAUAACUGGUGCCUAAUUUUUGUAACUAAGACCACUAGAGAGAGCUGUUGUGUCCGUCUUUCUGUCUGUCUCUUGCAGCCUCCUCCUCUCCCUUUGUGUCUCUUGUCUUCUCACUUACUCUCUGUAUCAGUCUCUUGUCCUGUCUCACACACUCUCUCUCUUUCUCUGAUGUGCUGACACUUCUGUGACUCUGCUCUGAGCCCUUUCACUGUGGUUAUCAUCAUGGCUGACAUCCUGAUUACGGUGAGAUGGGCAAAACCCCAUGCUAUUCCUCUUUUCAUUUCAGCUGUGCUGAUCUCGUCUGUUCUCCCAGGCCUGUGGCUGCACACAGAAGAGAAGAGUGGCAGAAUGUAUCAAGCUGUUUCCAGAUCUUCGUCAGUAGCUGUGAUGUAUCUCAGGGCAUAACAGAUUUUGACGUGUAUAACUACAUCAGAGUGGGUCUGGGCUACAGUUCUGAGGACCUGCUAUGGACAGAAUCUGUAUCCUGCGACCCACUUAAAGACCAAAAUGGAAGGUUCAGCCCUCCCUCUAUUUCCAUCUCCCUGGAGGAGCGCAGGAUCUGGGUGGAGGUGGCCUUCCCCUGUGCUCCUGCAGCUGCUUGCUGGGAGCAGACGCCCGCUCUGAGAUGUUGCUCCGUCAUUGACUUUUUGCAGCUGAACACCACACUGUGGCUUUACAACAAGCACAAUGCGUCUGACGCUCAGACUCGCACUGAGCUGGUGCAGAAGGGCGGGCCCUUCAGCGUGGAGUUUAUUUGGCUCACUCCGGGUCAGGAGUACUGUGUGGUGGUCUCCACCGCUUCCUCCCCCUUUUCCCGUCCGCAGUGUGUUUAUGUGCCUGUGCUGGAGAACCUGAACUUGGUUGUGCUGGGACUGAGUGGUGUGCUCAUUACUUUUCUUCUCAUUGCUGUGUGUGGGCUGGGGAUCCGGUGGGCCUCAUCUGACAGCACACUCCCUAAAUCUCUGUUGGCUCUUCAGAGUGUGAACCAGGAGGACCCAUUUGAGAGUGAGUUGAGACGGCCAUCCCUGGAGGCAGAGGGCCAUGUUCUCAGCCAUCUCUCGAUCAUCUCCCUCUCCAACAUGGUAGUUUUUGAGCCCGACUCACACCAAGAGCCCUCCUCAAGCCUAGGCGCUGGGUACUACGCUUCGCCGCUGCUCCAGCACAGCGCCUGCCCUGGAGACCAUGAAGAGACUGGAGACUUGGAGACAGAUGGUGGUUCAUCUCCGCCUGAAGGACCGGAGUUUGUGCAGCUAUGGGAGCCGGCUCAUGCAGAUUCCCUUCCUCUGGGUCUCCCAGGGGUCCCGCUGAGCUCCGUCAGACUGGCCAGGGCACAGGGGGAUGAGGCGGAGCUUCAUCACCUACCCAGUUUGCUUAUGAACCUGAACGGCGACCAUGAUACGCAUGCACAGGCUGCUGGAUAUCCGGCAGAACAGAACAUGAGUUCUGAUAUCAAACUCAUGUUCUGACUUUCCUACUCAAACUUGAUCUAUCUUGAUCCUCUACUAACUUUAAUCCAGGCUGUUUUAAAAUCCCACCAGGCAUUCUAGCUAUAGUAUUGCCUACUGCUCUAAACCCAGAUAUACUUCAAGUGAAAACCUGAAGCCUUGGGAUAUGAUUUCUAAGUAUUGUUCCCCACAGUUUUUAUACAAUUCACUAAUCAGUGCCUGAGACCAAACUCACUUCUUUAAGGACCCUUCUGAGGCUGCCUAGCACAACCCUGUGCAGUUGGAGUCAUUUUGUGUGCCAGUCUAUGCCACCUUGUAUAUCUUAUUUUAUGUGUGAAUAAAUCAAAUAAAUGGUGAAAUGGAAAGGGCUGCUCAGGGGUUAUUGGACUCCAGAUUUGAUGUUGAUUUUGGGAUAACCCCCCCCCCCCCCCCCCCCCCCCCCUGCUCACUGGUGUGACUCAUUCCGGUAGGCUGCUAUAAAUUCUCACAUGCCGUUUUAACCCCCUGUGGACUCGUUAGUUUUUGGGUAGGCGUGAGUGAGGCAUGUGCUUUCAGCCCUCUCCUUUCCUCCCUGAUCUAUGUGAUGUUUCACUGGCCUUACAUGAACAGUGAUUUGCUGAUGCAGCCAUUUUUUCUGGAAGGACUGAAGUAGAAUAGUCUCUAAGAAAUUAGAAAAGCACUCAUGGCACUGGCUAAGCAUCGUUGAUGUGUAUGGAUUUAAUUGCAAUUAUUGUUUUCUUGUGUAUUUAAUUUUUUUUGGGGGG